GUGUCAGCAGCCGCGGUAAUACAGAGGGUGCGAGCGUUGUCCGGAAUCACUGGGCGUAAAGGGCGCGUAGGUGGCGGCCCAAGUCCAUGGUGAAAGCUCGCCGCUUAACGGCGAGUCGGCCACGGAUACUGGGUUGCUCGAGCACUGUAGGGGCAGAUGGAAUUCCGGGUGUAGCGGUGGAAUGCGUAGAGAUCCGGAAGAACACCAGUGGCGAAGGCGGUCUGCUGGGCAGUUGCUGACACUGAUGCGCGACAGCGUGGGGAGCAAACAGGAUUAGAAACCCCAGUAGUCC
Molecule: ribosomal RNA, 292 nt
Filed under: uncultured bacterium
Lineage: Bacteria
Description: partial 16S ribosomal RNA
Rfam family: Bacterial small subunit ribosomal RNA
Source: RNAcentral